GAUGAACGCUGGCGGCGUGCCUAAUACAUGCAAGUCGAGCGAACAGACGAGGAGCUUGCUCCUCUGACGUUAGCGGCGGACGGGUGAGUAACACGUGGAUAACCUACCUAUAAGACUGGGAUAACUUCGGGAAACCGGAGCUAAUACCGGAUAAUAUAUUGAACCGCAUGGUUCAAUAGUGAAAGACGGUUUUGCUGUCACUUAUAGAUGGAUCCGCGCCGCAUUAGCUAGUUGGUAAGGUAACGGCCUACCAAGGCAACGAUGGGUAGCCGGCCUGAGAGGGGGAACGGAAACACUGGGACGGAGAUAGGGCGCAGACUGCGAAGGGAGGAAGCAGUGGGGAAUAUUACAAAAUGGGCGCAAGACGGAGGCAGAGAUGCCGAGUGAGGGACGACGGCCGUAGGGUUGGAAACAUAUUUCAGCACAGACGAAGCGCAAGGGACGGUAUGUGCAGAAGAAGGACAGGCCAACUAAGUG
This 477-nucleotide ribosomal RNA is filed under the name uncultured bacterium. RNAcentral's name for it is "partial 16S ribosomal RNA". It matches the Rfam family "Bacterial small subunit ribosomal RNA", at positions 28 to 507 of the family's 1533-position model. The record is from RNAcentral.